Molecule: ribosomal RNA, 700 nt
Filed under: uncultured bacterium
Lineage: Bacteria
Description: bacterial SSU rRNA
Rfam family: Bacterial small subunit ribosomal RNA
Source: RNAcentral
UCAGGCCUAACACAUGCAAGUCGAACGCAGUAGCAAUACUGAGUGGCAGACGGGUGAGUAUAAUGUGGGAAUCUGCCUUUUGGUUUGGAAUAACACGGGGAAACUUGUGCUAAUACCGAAUAAGCCCUUACGGGGAAAGUUUUAACGCCGAAAGAUGAGCCUGCACUUGAUUAGCUAGUUGGUAAGGUAAAAGCUUACCAAGGCGACGAUCAAUAGCUGUUCUUAGAGGAAGACCAGCCACAUUGGGACUGAGACACGGCCCAGACUCCUACGGGAGGCAGCAGUGGGGAAUCUUGCACAAUGGGGGAAACCCUGAUGCAGCGAUGCCGCGUGAGUGAAGAAGGCCCUUGGGUUGUAAAACUCUUUCGUCGGGGAAGAAAAUGACUGUACCCGAAUAAGAAGGUCCGGCUAACUUCGUGCCAGCAGCCGCGGUAAUACGAAGGGACCUAGCGUAGUUCGGAAUUACUGGGCUUAAAGAGCUCGUAGGUGGUUAAAAAAGUUGAUGGUGAAAUCCCAAGGCUCAACCUUGGAACUGCCAUCAAAACUUUUUAGCUAGAGUGUGAUAGAGGUAAGUGGAAUUUCUAGUGUAGAGGUGAAAUUCGUAGAUAUUAGAAAGAACACCAAAUGCGAAGGCAACUUACUGGGUCACUACUGACACUGAGGAGCGAAAGCAUGGGUAGCGAAGAGGAUUAGAUACCCU